UGUUACUCACUGCGAGAGGUCAUUGUCGUACCCUGGCCACAGAACGACCUGAGAACGUUGAAACAUCACUCUCGGUAGGCCGGUUUCUUACUGUGCCUGCUGAUUCCGUGGUUAUGCGUUCAUCCUUGGCCAACACUUCAGUUUAGGUUGGAUCGUACGCAUAGCUUCCGGAUAUCACCAAACCCCGGCACGAAAAGUGUCAAGGAAAAUGCAACUAAACAGCCUGCUUUCGCCAACCCGGAGACGGUGUUUGUUCGGAAGCAGUGCUGCAAUGUAAAGUCUAAAACGACUCUCGGCAACGGAUAUCUCGGCUCUCGCAUCGAUGAAGAACGUAGCGAAAUGCGAUACUUGGUGUGAAUUGCAGAAUCCCGUGAACCAUCGAGUCUUUGAACGCAAGUUGCGCCCCAAGCCUUCUGGCCGAGGGCACGUCUGCCUGGGUGUCACAAAUCGUCGUCCCCCCAUCCUCUCGAGGAUAUGGGACGGAAGCUGAUCUCCCGUGUGUUACCGCACGCGGUUGGCCAAAAUCCGAGCUAAGGACGUCAGGAGCGUCUUGACAUGCGGUGGUGAAUUUAAUUCUCGUCAUAUAGUCAGACGUUCCGGUCCAAAAGCUCUUGAUGACCCAAAGUCCUCAACGCGACCCCAGGUCAGGCGGGAUCACCCGCUGAGUUUAAGCAUAUCAAGA
This 682-nucleotide ribosomal RNA is filed under the name Brassica napus (rape). Its description in RNAcentral is "eukaryotic LSU rRNA". The stretch from base 288 to 443 matches the Rfam family "5.8S ribosomal RNA". Lineage: Eukaryota; Viridiplantae; Streptophyta; Magnoliopsida; Brassicales; Brassicaceae. The record is from RNAcentral.